RNAcentral lists this transfer RNA (73 nucleotides) under Holosporaceae bacterium. RNAcentral's name for it is "tRNA-Thr". It matches the Rfam family "tRNA". From Rfam's summary of the family: Transfer RNA (tRNA) molecules are approximately 80 nucleotides in length. The record is from RNAcentral. Lineage: Bacteria; Pseudomonadati; Pseudomonadota; Alphaproteobacteria; Holosporales; Holosporaceae.
GCCGGACUAGCUCAGUUGGUAGAGCAAUUGAUUUGUAAUCAAUAGGUCGUUGGUUCAAGUCCGACGUCCGGCA